Long non-coding RNA from Drosophila elegans, 545 nucleotides. RefSeq lists it as uncharacterized. NCBI's taxonomy places the organism in Eukaryota, Metazoa, Arthropoda, Insecta, Diptera, Drosophilidae. The transcript is spliced from 3 exons. The record is from RefSeq and is a predicted model, not a curated record.
GUGUACGUGUGGUACGGAGUGCGUAAAGACACAGGCCACCCUGCUAAAUCUCCAGUCGGUAUAAAACAUCAACCUAAAAUCAAAAUUUUAAAAUGUUAAAUUUUAAAUUAUAAUCGAAGCACAGAGAAUCGAUUUGUUCGCAGCUCUAAUGACCAGCAGUCCGAACAAUCGAUAGGUCCCAACUCCCAUCUCUAUCAAAAAUCAAGGACGAGAAAUAUUUGCACAUAUAAAAUCGAAAACUGGACGAAAUUGUUGGCUUUGGUGUUAUUGCCACAGCGCACCCACCAAGGAUGAGAACAGACGUGCUAUGUAUGACUAAACAAAUUCCAUUCUUUGAUAAAUUUCGCGACCCAAUUUAAGAAUUACAGGACAACACGCGGCAAAUGUUGAAUUUUGGAUUAAAAAUCCAGAUUUGUUUUACAUUGAAUAGAACGGAUGGAAAACGUGCUUUUGGUCGAUGCGGCAAAAGUACGGAAGAAACUGCUACUUCAAAAACCAUCAAGAGACCGCAGGGAACCAUAUGCUCCGGCUGUAGUGCAGCCUUU